AUCCAGCUGAGGAGUCCCAAAUAGGACGAAAUGCGCAUCCUGGAU
Non-coding RNA from Trichobilharzia regenti, 45 nucleotides. Lineage: Eukaryota; Metazoa; Platyhelminthes; Trematoda; Strigeidida; Schistosomatidae. The record is from Rfam.